Entelurus aequoreus (snake pipefish) is the source of this 719-nucleotide long non-coding RNA. RefSeq lists it as uncharacterized. Lineage: Eukaryota; Metazoa; Chordata; Actinopteri; Syngnathiformes; Syngnathidae. The transcript is spliced from 3 exons. The record is from RefSeq and is a predicted model, not a curated record.
CCGGGACUCGUGCGCGCACGUCUCCGCCCCCCGGCCAAUCACAGGCGAGCUGGCGGGCUCGUGUACACAGUGGCACAUGGCUAGGCUACUCUGGCCAUGUGAGCCCUGGCUAGGAAGUAGAACACGGUUGUUUGGGUCAAAAGGUGGACGACGAGCAACGAUGAUUUGACAUUCUUAACGCCGCUUUAGCACCCCCAAAAACGGGGUACGGGACACCUUUGACAGUGUCUGAGCCAAAGACAUCGACGGAUGGAGGACUUGUGGCAGGUAAUCAGCGGCAGGUGUGGCAGAGGAGUUGCCCCAAAAGAGAAAUAUGGCGGUUUGGACUUGUGUAGUGACGGUUAUCCUGUUGGCUGUGGUACGUCUUAAUGGUAUUGUUGUGUCGCUGGGUGAGUUUCCCAUAGAACAACACCAAAUGUUACAAAACAUGAGCGUACUGGUAAGAAAAAGUAGGUUUAUGUGGGUCAACAAGACCGGAAAGAACCCACACGAUCUCCCGCCUGAUUCCUAAUUACAUACACCUGUGCUUAAAUAAUGUUAUACUGCCACCCGUGGACACCUGACGUAAUAACAUGACAAUAAAUAGAAGGUGGCUCCUACACAACCAGAUUUGUUGUAAUGAAAAAAACAAGGAAUUUGCCUCCAAAUUAUCCAAAAAUUAACACAACACCGCAAGUGUAGUCAUUUUAACUGUCCUGUUGCAUUCUGGGAUAUCUUCU